AAAGGGAAGCAAAGCCGCGAGGCGGAGCGAAUCCCCAAAAGGCGUCUCAGUUCGGAUUGCAGGCUGCAACUCGCCUGUAUGAAGUCGGAAUUGCUAGUAAUCGUGGAUCAGCAUGCCACGGUGAAUACGUUCCCGGGCCUUGUACACACCGCCCGUCACACCAUGAGAGCCGGGAACACCCGAAGUCCGUAGUCUAACCUAUAUGGAGGACGCGGCCGAAGGUGGGUUUGGUAAUUGGGGUGAAGUCGUAACAAGGUAAC
RNAcentral lists this ribosomal RNA (260 nucleotides) under uncultured bacterium. Its description in RNAcentral is "partial 16S ribosomal RNA". It matches the Rfam family "Bacterial small subunit ribosomal RNA", at positions 1241 to 1500 of the family's 1533-position model. The record is from RNAcentral.